CGAGAAAGCCCGCAAGGGUGAGUAAAGCGGCGCACGGGUGCGUAACACGUGGGUAAUCUUCCCUGAAAUCUGGGAUAACUCCCCGAAAGGGGUGCUAAUACCGGAUGAGACCACGGGAGCCUCGGCUCCCGCGGGAAAAGGUGGCCUCUGCAUGCAAGCUAUCGUUUCAGGAUGAGCCCGCGGCCCAUCAGCUCGUUGGCGGGGUAACGGCCCACCAAGGCGACGACGGGUAGCUGGUCUGAGAGGACGAUCAGCCACACUGGAACUGAGACACGGUCCAGACUCCUACGGGAGGCAGCAGUGGGGAAUCUUGCGCAAUGGGCGAAAGCCUGACGCAGCAACGCCGCGUGUGUGAUGAAGGUCUUCGGAUCGUAAAGCACUGUCGCGAGGGACG
Molecule: ribosomal RNA, 394 nt
Filed under: uncultured Anaeromyxobacter sp.
Lineage: Bacteria; Pseudomonadati; Myxococcota; Myxococcia; Myxococcales; Anaeromyxobacteraceae
Description: bacterial SSU rRNA
Rfam family: Bacterial small subunit ribosomal RNA
Source: RNAcentral